AUUCAGUUAACUUUUAUGAAAAAAUUGAUAUACUGAAUGUAUGGGUCUUCUGCACAAUCAUUCUCUAAAAACCAGUUUUGGGCUUAUGAGUUCAAUGCAGAUUUGAAUGCAUGCUCUCAUGGGCACGUAGGCAUGUGCAGGUGCAUUUAGGCUUACACAUACACUUGGUCCAUCUGAGCCAAUAGGAUUCCUUGUGUUUUGGUUCACCAUGAACUAGGUCUAGGCAAAAAUGAAGAAAGAGAGCGAGAGAGAGCGAGAACAUGUUUCUAGGAUAUCAUGGUUGAUUUAUAAAUUAUAUUAUAUGUUUAAUUUCUUUCAUGUAAAAGUUCAGAGAAUAUUUAUGAUCGUUAUGUCUUGGAAAUUACAAGUGCAGGUUCCACAAGUAACAGAGG
This 392-nucleotide unclassified non-coding RNA is filed under the name Hevea brasiliensis (rubber tree). The record is from RNAcentral. Lineage: Eukaryota; Viridiplantae; Streptophyta; Magnoliopsida; Malpighiales; Euphorbiaceae.